AUGGAGAGAUGGAAGGGGGUGGUGAGGAGCGGGGUGGAGGGUGCAGAGGGGAGAGAGGCUGCGGGGGGAGGGGUGGCUCAGUCCACAGGGCUGCAGUCUCCGGUGACAACAAAACGCGGGGUGGCUCCUGCUCCAGCCAUUACCCCUGAAAGCAGGGGGAAGUUGAUGCCGAGGCGUGCCAGGAGCGAUGGCUCGUCUCCGGUCAUCGAUAUGGAGGCCGCGAGGAGGGCGAUCAGUGGCUUCCUGGUGGUGGGGAGGCUUCUAUCGCCCUUCCAAGUGAACCCGCGGAUCAUCACCGACGACCUCCGUGCUACUUCGGCUUGGAAGCUGCAAGGAGCAGUCACUGCUCAAGAUGUGGCCAACGCGGAUGGGAGGUUCGUCCUUAAUUUCUCUGUCGAGGAAGACCGGAGGUUCAUUCUCAAGGCCCGGCCAUGGCACUAUAAGAGUGAUGGUGUCAUCUUCGCUGAGUUUGAUGGCAAGGGAAACCCUGCGGAGGUCGAUCUUGGCGUUAUGGCAAUUUGGGUUCAGGUUCGUGACCUCCCAUUUGAACUUAAAACUGAGAGUAUGGGCUGGUCUUUUGGGGACCAACUUGGCGAUGUGAUUGCCAUUUCCCAUAGAAACCACAUGAUCGUAGAGAAAUUUUUGCGUUUAAGGGUGGAAAUCCCACUACAUGAGCCUCUUAAGACAUCAGUAGAGUUCACUCCGCUAGGUAGUUCUAAGAGGAUUCAGUAUGAUAUUCGAUAUGAAAAACUUCCACUGUAUUGUGAGUGUUGUGGGAUUGUAGGCCAUACAUCAGAGAGCUAUUGUAGCAUACCAAAAGAAAAAAGAGUAGCUUCAUUUCCUAAGAACCUUAGCGUAGAAGCAUAUUGGAAAGGAAUAGGUUCAAGCAAAAGAGCAAUUCAGUUCUCUAGCUCCAGCAACAAGUACACCUCCAGAGUUACGAAGGGAAGUGUGGUCAAGGUGACCAAAGCCGUGGGUGAACUCAAGGUGACGGACAAGAUCGCUACGGCUACCACGACGACGGGGGCUGCGGAGACCGGGGGGCCAAGCCAGGAGGGCCUCCCACUCGGCCAGGAGGGCCGGGUGGCUCCCUCGCCAACUGCACCAGGUGCUGGCACCAGUCAGGAGGACCAGUCAGCGCCUCCGACAGCACCUGCCGACUCUGGCCAUGAGGGCCAGGGGACGGGGGACUGGAGCUGUAUGCCCCACGGUGCAAAGCUCAACCAGGAGGGUCUUGAGUUGAUGCACCAAGGGCCGUCCAGUUCCAUUCAGGAGCUGCGUUCUGCUGCUGGACACAUGGGGUGUCCCGCUGGCCAGGAGGGCCAGGGGAUCCAUCCAUUGGGUGAGGGCAGCACUUUACUUGCUGGUGCCGAUGCUUUCCAGAACCAGCUCCUCUUUAAGCCUAGUGUGCUGGAGGCUUUGUCAGGCGCUGUUGCGGCAAGGCUUGCUGUUCAAGGCACGGCCAAUGAGUCUGUGAUUUUUAAAUUUUCUGCUAAAAAGAAUCCCACGCAGGGUAAGUCUAUGAGAAAGGAGAGGAAAGAUAAAAAGAGGGCAGGGAAUGAAAAAACAGAGAAAGCUCGUAAAGAAAUCAUAGGGAAAAAGAGGGGUAAUCCUUUUGGUGCCCCACCAAUUAAAAUUUUCUUUUGA
RNAcentral lists this ribosomal RNA (1647 nucleotides) under Triticum aestivum (bread wheat). RNAcentral describes it as "partial small subunit ribosomal RNA". Lineage: Eukaryota; Viridiplantae; Streptophyta; Magnoliopsida; Poales; Poaceae. The record is from RNAcentral.